RNAcentral lists this ribosomal RNA (430 nucleotides) under uncultured bacterium. Its description in RNAcentral is "bacterial SSU rRNA". It matches the Rfam family "Bacterial small subunit ribosomal RNA", at positions 354 to 776 of the family's 1533-position model. The record is from RNAcentral.
GUGAGGAAUUUUGCGCAAUGGGCGAAAGCCUGACGCAGCAACGCCGCGUGGAUGAUGAAGGCCUUCGGGUCGUAAAAUCCUGUCAAGUGGGAAGAAAGCUCCUCCGUGAAUAGCGGAGGGGACUGACUGUACCACUGGAGGAAGCCCCGGCUAACUCCGUGCCAGCAGCCGCGGUAAUACGGAGGGGGCAAGCGUUGUUCGGAAUUAUUGGGCGUAAAGGGCGCGUAGGCGGCCUGGUAAGUCGGUUGUGAAAUCCCUUGGCUCAACCAAGGAACUGCACCCGAAACUGCCGGGCUUGAGUCCGGGAGAGGGUAGUGGAAUUCCCAGUGUAGCGGUGAAAUGCGUAGAUAUUGGGAGGAACACCAGUGGCGAAGGCGGCUACCUGGACCGGUACUGACGCUGAGGCGCGAAAGCUAGGGGAGCAAACAGG